This 253-nucleotide ribosomal RNA is filed under the name uncultured bacterium. RNAcentral describes it as "partial 16S ribosomal RNA". It matches the Rfam family "Bacterial small subunit ribosomal RNA", at positions 524 to 776 of the family's 1533-position model. The record is from RNAcentral.
UACGGGGGGGGCAAGCGUUGUUCGGAAUUACUGGGCGUAAAGGGUUCGUAGGUGGCUUGUUAAGUCAGACGUGAAAUCCCUCAGCUUAACUGGGGAACUGCGUCUGAGACUGGUGAGCUUGAGUGCAGGAGAGGAACGCGGAAUUCCAGGUGUAGCGGUGAAAUGCGUAGAUAUCUGGAGGAACACCGGUGGCGAAGGCGGCGUUCUGGACUGCAACUGACACUGAUGAACGAAAGCCAGGGGAGCAAACGGG